This 252-nucleotide ribosomal RNA is filed under the name uncultured bacterium. RNAcentral's name for it is "partial 16S ribosomal RNA". It matches the Rfam family "Bacterial small subunit ribosomal RNA", at positions 525 to 776 of the family's 1533-position model. The record is from RNAcentral.
ACGGAGGGUGCAAGCGUUGUUCGGAAUUACUGGGCGUAAAGGGCGUGUAGGCGGUUAGGCAAGUCAGGUGUGAAAUCCCUUGGCUCAACCAAGGAAGUGCGCUUGAAACUGCUUAACUAGAGUACAGGAGGGGAAAGUGGAAUUCCCAGUGUAGAGGUGAAAUUCAUAGAUAUUGGGAGGAACACCGGUAGCGAAGGCGGCUUUCUGGCCUGAUACUGACGCUGAGACGCGAAAGCGUGGGGAGCAAACAGG